CGGGUGAGUAAUGCCUAGGAAUCUGCCUGGUAGUGGGGGACAACGUUUCGAAAGGAACGCUAAUACCGCAUACGUCCUACGGGAGAAAGCAGGGGACCUUCGGGCCUUGCGCUAUCAGAUGAGCCUAGGUCGGAUUAGCUAGUUGGUGAGGUAAUGGCUCACCAAGGCGACGAUCCGUAACUGGUCUGAGAGGAUGAUCAGUCACACUGGAACUGAGACACAGUCCAGACUCCUACGGGAGGCAGCAGCC
RNAcentral lists this ribosomal RNA (250 nucleotides) under uncultured Pseudomonas sp. Its description in RNAcentral is "partial 16S ribosomal RNA". It matches the Rfam family "Bacterial small subunit ribosomal RNA", at positions 103 to 355 of the family's 1533-position model. Lineage: Bacteria; Pseudomonadati; Pseudomonadota; Gammaproteobacteria; Pseudomonadales; Pseudomonadaceae. The record is from RNAcentral.